Long non-coding RNA from Sapajus apella (tufted capuchin), 717 nucleotides. RefSeq lists it as uncharacterized. The transcript is spliced from 3 exons. The record is from RefSeq and is a predicted model, not a curated record. Lineage: Eukaryota; Metazoa; Chordata; Mammalia; Primates; Cebidae.
AAAAAAAAAAAGCAUAUGUGAUAUUUAGUAGAUAUUAUAAUCUUUUAAAAAUGGGUCUACUGUCAGAGCCUUCUUAUAAGUCCGGCAUAUCAGCAUAUUUUCCAGUUGGAGAGUAACGUGUAUCACCUGUCCAAGUGGUGCUUUUAAACCUGCAAACCAGUUCAGGCAGGCGGCUGCAUUGCGCAGACACUUGGGCUUUGUAAUUGAAAUGAAUGGGGCUGUUCCAGCAAGAUGCAGAAGACAGGUGAGGUGUUGUUACCCCAAGAACUGUGACCCUGGUAGUAUCACACAUGGAGCUCUUCAUUUUUGUCCCCUUUUGGGGGGCCAGUGCAGAAAGAGGAAAAUGUAGGGAACUGCCAUAGCUCUCCGGUAAUGACAUGCAAAUUCUGAACUUAGAGCCGGAUUAGAGGCCGGGCUGCACAUUUUCUGCACCAUCUGCUGGUUGGCGAGUAAAUGCUGAGCAAGGGAAAAAGUGAGCAGGCGGACAGAGCCACUCUGGCCCAGGGGGCCCAAAGUCACAGCGAUGUCUUUAUAUCUCCCAGGUCUGCGGGCACCACAGCAAAGAGCAUUUUGCCUGAGGGCACAGGGUAGCUGGCUGGAGAAUGUGGCACAUCUCCAUCUCUUAGUGCUGGCAUCUCAGAGCCUGGCAGAACAAAGCCAUUUCUGGCUUGCUCACAAAACAGUGAUACUUCUGGGGAGCUGUAGAGGGGUCGGCUG